RNAcentral lists this ribosomal RNA (135 nucleotides) under uncultured bacterium. Its description in RNAcentral is "partial 16S ribosomal RNA". The record is from RNAcentral.
CACGGAGUUAGCCGGGGCUUCUUCUCCCGCUACCGUCAUCAUCGUCGCGGGCGAAAGAGCUUUACAACCCUAGGGCCUUCAUCACUCACGCGGCAUGGCUGGAUCAGGCUUGCGCCCAUUGUCCAAUAUUCCCCA